This 293-nucleotide ribosomal RNA is filed under the name uncultured Myxococcales bacterium. RNAcentral describes it as "partial 16S ribosomal RNA". It matches the Rfam family "Bacterial small subunit ribosomal RNA", at positions 1077 to 1382 of the family's 1533-position model. The record is from RNAcentral. Lineage: Bacteria; Pseudomonadati; Myxococcota; Myxococcia; Myxococcales.
CGGUUAAGUCCGCUAACGAGCGCAACCCUCGCUGUGUGUUACAAGUGUCACACGGUACUGCCGAUAUUAAGCCGGAGGAAGGUGGGGAUGACGUCAAGUCCUCAUGGCCUUUAUGCCCAGGGCUACACACGUGCUACAAUGGUCGGUACAAAGGGUUGCCAAGCCGCGAGGUGGAGCUAAUCCCAUAAAACCGAUCGUAGUCCGGAUCGCAGUCUGCACCUCGACUGCGUGAAGUCGGAAUCGCUAGUAAUCGUGAAUCAGAAUGUCCACGGUCGAAUACGUUCCCGGGCCUU